This 1999-nucleotide long non-coding RNA is filed under the name Pongo abelii (Sumatran orangutan). RNAcentral describes it as "lincRNA". Lineage: Eukaryota; Metazoa; Chordata; Mammalia; Primates; Hominidae. The record is from RNAcentral.
CAUGGCUGAAAUUGUAUAAACGAGGAAUAGUAAGUUACAAAAUCUUGGUUGAUGAUACAGAAGUGCUUACAGAACAUAGGCCCUCCAAAGACCCUUUCACUCCAGUUAUCAAAGUAAUUUUGUCCUCAGUUUAAUGGCAGGUGAAACAAUAUUGAACAAAGCAUCCUCUGCUGUAUCUGAAGUCCUCUAGUUAGUGUUCAUAGUAGUAAAUGCUCUAGUAAAGGGACAGCUUCCAUUCCAAUCCCAGGUUUUCAAUCACUUUGGUUCUUUUUUUGAGACAGAGUCUCGCUGUGUUGCCCAGGCUGGAGUGCAGUGGUGUGAUCUCAGCUUACUGCAACCUCCACCUCCUGGGUUCAAGUGAUUCUCAUGCCUCAGCCACCUGAGUAGCUGGGACUACAGGAACAUGCCACCACACCUGGCUAAUUUUUAUGUUUUUUUUUUUUUUUUUUUUUUUUUUUUUUUUUAAAGAGCCAGGAUUUCACCAUUUUGGCCAGACUGGUGUCGAACUUCUGACCUCAAGUGAUUCCCCUGCCUUGGCCUCCCAAAGUGCUGGCACUACAGGCAUGAACCACCCGGCCCACUUUGGUUCCUAAAGUUUUCUUUCAGAUAAAGUUUUUAAUACAUAGUUUCUGCCCAAAGGUUUUGUUUGUGUGGAUUGAUUAUUGGAUAUGAGAGGAAGGGACUAUCAACAGGGGGAUAUGAGAGGAAGGGACUAUCAACAGGGUCCCUGAGACUGUGCUUAGAAAGAGAGGGCUGCUGCAAGGAGAGGCUAUGUUACUACCUGUGAAAUAAUCUGUGAAUAUGGGACAACAAUGACAACUGACAUUGAUGUGGAACUCACUGCACGUCCCAAACUGGGCUAAGUACUUUAUAUCCAUUGGCUCAUUUAAUGCCCCAACAACUAUGAGGUAGGUGUUAUUACCCUGAUGCUAAUAUUAAAGAACAAGAAAUAAAUAACUUGUCCAAAACCUCACAGCUAGUAAAUGGCAGAACUGGGACCUGAACUCAAAACUCUGUAACUCCAGAACCUACAAGUUUGUCGUUAAAUGCACUUGACAUUUAGGAGUGGGAACAAAUCCAAGAACUAGUCAUGGGUGUCAUUUACUCUGAUCCUUUUUUUCAGACAGGAAACUGGGGGUUCAGAGUAGUUGAUUGGAAUCUUCUGUUAGAAUUCUGAGUGUCUGAGGCCUGCUCCUUUGGCCGAGCCCUACCACACCAAGUGAUACAGAUCCUUCAGAAUUCUCCUGGGCAUGUUCUGGCUGGAGAAAGAGAUUAUCUUUUUGCUCACGGACUUUUUCCUUGCUUAAUCCUACUCAUACCUUUGUUUCACUAGCAUUGUAGACAAAAUCAUUAAAACAAGAAAGCCAGAUUUCCUUAGAAUGGGCUUGUGCAUUUAAAAUUAGACCGAUGUUGCACAAUCCUAUGAAUAUAUUUAAAAAAACACUGAAUUGCUUAAAUAUACAAAUAUGUACAACUAUUACAAAAAAGUAUGGUAUAUGAAUUAUAUCUCAACAAGGAUGCUCAAAAAAAAACCCCAGAAUGUAUGACUUAAAAAACAUUUCUAUUGUUUUUGAAUGGCUUCCAGAAGGGCUCCUUGUACAUCAGGUGCCUGGGGUGACCUCCUUGCCCAUUCAUUUCUUAUUCAGUCCACAUUAACGGAGUCCACCCUUGGGCCAGGCACAGGGAUAGCAGGGGUAGGGACCGAGCUCCCUGAGGAUGAAAGACAGGUACAGAGGAAUGAAUGCUUGUACCUGAAGAAGCACUGAUUUUUUGGGUUGCGGCUUCCAGUGACUAUUGCAAAUUCGAGUACUAAAAAAGUUGAUGUGAUUUCACUAUUUGGAAAAUGUAGUGUUUUUGUUUCUUUUAAUAAGUUACACUGAGUCACAGACCUGGUCUCAAAGCUUCAAUUACAGUAACCGUUUACCCCUUUCAAGUGAGUUUUUGCAUACUAACAGAUAAGUGAAACAGAAUUACAAAAUAAAGUUAAUGCUGAAAACAA